UGGGGAAUAUUGGACAAUGGGCGAAAGCCUGAUCCAGCCAUGCCGCGUGUGUGAAGAAGGUCUUCGGAUUGUAAAGCACUUUAAGUUGGGAGGAAGGGCAGUAAGCGAAUACCUUGCUGUUUUGACGUUACCGACAGAAUAAGCACCGGCUAACUCUGUGCCAGCAGCCGCGGUAAUACAGAGGGUGCAAGCGUUAAUCGGAAUUACUGGGCGUAAAGCGCGCGUAGGUGGUUCGUUAAGUUGAAUGUGAAAGCCCCGGGCUCAACCUGGGAACUGCAUCCAAAACUGGCGAGCUAGAGUAGGGCAGAGGGUGGUGGAAUUUCCCGUGUAGCGGUGAAAUGCGUAGAUAUAGGAAGGAACACCAGUGGCGAAGGCGACCACCUGGGCUCAUACUGACACUGAGGUGCGAAAGCGUGGGGAGCAAACAGG
RNAcentral lists this ribosomal RNA (429 nucleotides) under Pseudomonadota bacterium. RNAcentral describes it as "Proteobacteria bacterium partial 16S ribosomal RNA". It matches the Rfam family "Bacterial small subunit ribosomal RNA", at positions 355 to 776 of the family's 1533-position model. The record is from RNAcentral. Lineage: Bacteria; Pseudomonadati; Pseudomonadota.